AUUUACACCACAGGAACCGAAGAGUGUAAGAAGGAGACCUCAGCUGGUUGUAAGUUGUGUUCUAGUAACUGAAACUUACUUUUUGAAUGGCUGUUAUAUGUGAUGGACACUUCCUAAAACCCUGUGAAGAGAUGUUUAAGACCAUAUUUACUUUCACCAGAUGGCUGCUGAGUUCUUGACUUAGAAUAUGUGUUGAACAGAAACACUUGAAACUAUGGGGAAAUGGGUCAGUGUAUAAGUGCUUGCCUUGCAAUCAUGCAGAACUGAGUUGAAGACACUUGAAAAAAGUCAAGUGGAGGAGUCUGAUUCUUGUGCUUUUUAUAUGUCCACCCAUUAUGCUAUAAUUGUUGGUACAAUGUGUUGCUUGUAUCUUUCUUUUCAUCUUAAAGUACAAGUUUAAUGUGAUUUCAGAAGAAAGCAGAGGGUGUAAUUGGUACUGUGCCAUGGGAGGUAUCAGGAUAAGAACUGAGAACUUUGAGUUUGGCUGUCUGGAGUCCACAUCCAUGAAGGUGGAAAUUUGGAGUAGUUCCAAAGACUCAAGACAGUAUGGAGUGGAUUAAUGAGAAGAUAGGAGGUGGGAAAAAUAUAAAGAAUAUUUAUAAGUUCUGAGAUUGUGCUGUGAGUUUUUUUUUCACAGAAACAAGUCUGUUUAAUGAAACAAAGCUUAUCACCUUUUUCUCCUUUGCCCUUCUUGCCUCCAUACUCAAGUGAAUGUAAUGUUUCUCAUAUGCUAGUUAGAUGCUGUUCUACUAAUCAUGUUCCUUACUAGGUGUAUCCUAGGCAGUAAUCUACCACUGAUUCACACUUCUGGUCCCUUACUACUAAAUGAUUCUAGGAUGAUGCUCUAAUGUUGAACUACAUCCCAAGCAUUCAAUUUACUUUUUUAUUUCUUGAUAUGUAUGGGUAUUUUUCAUAAAUGUGUGUCUUUUUGCCCCAUGCUUUCUUGGUGCAUGAGAAAGUAGGUAAAGAGCUUUGGAUCUCCUGGCAUUGAAUUUACAGAUAUAAAUCUACAUGACAGUGCUGGGAACUGAACUGAGAUAUGCCGGAAGAGCACACAAUGCUCAUAUUUUCUGAGUAGUUUUGUUUAGCCCCCUUUUACUUUUUAUUGUGUAGAACUUAUCCCAGUAUAUUAUCAAACUGUACCUCUUUCUGUAUUGGAAUCAAGCCUUGAAUAUGCAGUUCUCAUCACAGCCUCAAAUAACAGUUGGGAUUUUUGGUGUGAGGACCAUGUUUGGGUCUUGAAGGGAGGCAACAUGAUAAUUCAUAUGUUAAUGAGAAUGCUCUACUGGAAAGUAUAUCCUGAUGUUAUUGUUUGUUUGUUUGUUGUUGUUAUUGUUUUGUUUGUUUUUUCCCCUUGGCUUGGAAGAAAAGAGAUAUUAAAAACUCAAGAGAUGAAUAUCUAGGAAGGUGUGAGACAUAUACUGAGCCAGUGCAUGUGGAGAGGCCACUUGAAACGAACGAUAACUCUUGCUUCUCUGGAAGUGGUACACACAGCAGCAUGGAGAUAUGGCAGCUGGUACAGCAAAAAAUCCCCAGAAAUUGAUACCAUUAAAAAAAAAAAAACCUCUGAGAAUAUUAGAGGGAAUGAUAUAAUUUGAGAAGCAAUCAAAGGGAGGGAAUAAUCAGUUUACUGUGUUUGUUGUGUGUGUGUGUUAAUGUUUAUGAAUGUGGGGAUAAACAUUAAACAAAUAACUCUGUUAUUCUAUGUGUUUUAAAUAUUUUUUGGUCAAAGCCUCUUUCUGGGACUGUAACAUAUUAUUGGGCUGGAUAGUCAGGCAAGGAAAUUUCACAGAUUAUCCUGUCCCUGCCCUGUUCCACAACUGGACUUGUAGAUGUAUGCCACCAUACCUUGUUUUGACAUGGGUGAUGUAGAUAUGAACUCAGGUCCUUAUUGGAUGGCAAGUGCUUUAUAGCUGGGAGCCAUCUUCCCAGCUUGGAGUAUGUAUGCACAUAUUAAACAGGAAAUGAGCAUGGUAAAUAGAAUUAGCAAAAAAGUUCUGCUUCUGAAAGUUACUUCUUCAGAGUCAUGGUUUCAUUAGUUAUAAAAUGGGGAUGUGUGUCCUAAGAUAAUUAUAAUGGGAUAAUUGGCAUAUGUUGGGGUUUCACCAUACACCGACCAUCCUAAGCAGCACAUGAUUUCUUCUGUGACUCAUAGAUCCUGACGUGCACAAAAGAGUGAUUGAGCUUUAGCAUAUUUGUCUUUCUACCUAUAUUUUCUAUCUUCUAUACUAUAGAAGUGGUUAUCAACUAGGAGUCAUUAUGUCUUCCAAAGGAAAAUGGUCAUUUAUAGAUAUUUUAGUUAUCAUAGCUGGACAAGAGUUGCUCCAUUAUACCCAACCACAAUUAAGUACUGACAGAUGUCAACAGUGCUAGGCUUGAGAAAUUCUGAAAAACAUUACACAAUGUCCUGGUUAGGAUCUUAGUGAAAAGAAUGUGUUAGAAAAAGAAAAGUAGGAACUGCUAUGAGAAACAAAGCAGAGAAAUCAUCAUUGUAUCACCAUAUGAGCAUAAUCAGCUACUGUGGCAGGUUCAUAUCAAAUGAGGCAUAUUAGUGAUGCAAAAUUUGAAACUCUAAAAUUAAAUUAGGGUUCCAAUGCUUGUCUCUUCUGACAAAAACAGAAAAAAAACCCACAAACAAUACUCUACCAAAAUCCUUAGAAUAUGGCUUUGGCUUGAUAAAACAGUGGUGUUGCUGUCUCUCAAUAUUGACAUGAGAUUUACAGUUGAGCAAAUUAUCGGGGUGUGUAGUGUGACUUUUCCUAGGGAAACAUGACACAUGUCUACUCACCCCAGAAAAUUCAUGAGAGACUAACAGAAUUACUACAGCAAAGAGCAAUUUUGUGAACUGAUAUCUUCUAACAUUCCUUGGUAAUUUUAGCACUCUGAAAGGUGAAGCAGAAAGUCAGGAAUAUGAGGUCAGCUGAGAUACUAACUAAACCCUUUCUCAACCAUACAUU
Molecule: long non-coding RNA, 2957 nt
Filed under: Mus musculus (house mouse)
Lineage: Eukaryota; Metazoa; Chordata; Mammalia; Rodentia; Muridae
Description: long non-coding RNA chr17:17887850-17890807
Source: RNAcentral